RNAcentral lists this ribosomal RNA (228 nucleotides) under uncultured bacterium. Its description in RNAcentral is "partial 16S ribosomal RNA". It matches the Rfam family "Bacterial small subunit ribosomal RNA", at positions 118 to 346 of the family's 1533-position model. The record is from RNAcentral.
UGAGCAAUCUGCCCUUCUCAUCGGAAUAAGCGUUGGAAACGACGUCUAAUGCCGAAUACGACCUCCUUUCGCAUGAUCGGAGGUGGAAAGCUCCGGCGGAGAAGGAUGAGCUCGCGGCCUAUCAGCUAGUUGGUGAGGUAACGGCCCACCAAGGCUACGACGGGUAGCUGGUCUGAGAGGAUGAUCAGCCUCACUGGGACUGAGACACGGCCCAGAUCCCGUACGGGG